RNAcentral lists this ribosomal RNA (493 nucleotides) under uncultured bacterium. RNAcentral's name for it is "partial 16S ribosomal RNA". It matches the Rfam family "Bacterial small subunit ribosomal RNA", at positions 29 to 508 of the family's 1533-position model. The record is from RNAcentral.
AGUGAACGCUGGCGGUAGGCCUAACACAUGCAAGUCGAACGGCAGCACAGUAAGAGCUUGCUCUUACGGGUGGCGAGUGGCGGACGGGUGAGGAAUACAUCGGAAUCUACUUUUUCGUGGGGGAUAACGUAGGGAAACUUACGCUAAUACCGCAUACGACCUACGGGUGAAAGCAGGGGAUCUUCGGACCUUGCGCGAUUGAAUGAGCCGAUGUCGGAUUAGCUAGUUGGCGGGGUAAAGGCCCACCAAGGCGACGAUCCGUGGCUGGUCUGAGAGGAUGAUCAGCCACACUGGAACUGAGACACGGUCCAGACUCCUACGGGAGGCAGCAGUGGGGAAUAUUGGACAAUGGGCGCAAGCCUGAUCCAGCCAUACCGCGUGGGUGAAGAAGGCCUUCGGGUUGUAAAGCCCUUUUGUUGGGAAAGAAAAGCAGCAGGUUAAUACCCCGCUGUUCCGACGGUACCCAAAGAAUAAGCACCGGCUAACUUCGUGC